This 659-nucleotide ribosomal RNA is filed under the name uncultured bacterium. RNAcentral describes it as "bacterial SSU rRNA". It matches the Rfam family "Bacterial small subunit ribosomal RNA", at positions 200 to 858 of the family's 1533-position model. The record is from RNAcentral.
UUAAAAGUGUUAGCGGUGUGAGAUGGUUUUCGCUUUAGAUUAGUUUGGUUGGUGGAGGUAACGGCUUCCCCAAGGCAACGGUGGAUAGGGGGACUGAGAGGUUUAUCCCCCACACUGGUUAUGAGACACGGACCAGAUUCUUACGGGAGGCAGCAGUGAGGAAUAUUGGUCAAUGAGCGAAAGCUUGAACCAGCCAAGUCGCGUGAAGGAUGAAUGUCCUAAGGAUUGUAAACUUCUUUUAUACAGGAAUAAUAGUUGCCACGUGUGGCGGCCUGCAUGUACUGUAUGAAUAAGGAUCGGCUAACUCCGUGCCAGCAGCCGCGGUAAUACGGAGGAUCCGAGCGUUAUCCGGAUUUAUUGGGUUUAAAGGGUGCGCAGGCGGGAGAUUAAGUCGGCGGUGAAAUUUUGCGGCUCAACCGUAAAAGUGCCUUCGAAACUGGUUUUCUUGAGUGUAGAUGAAGUAGGCGGAAUUUGUGGUGUAGCGGUGAAAUGCAUAGAUAUCACGAGGAACUCCGAUUGCGCAGGCAGCUUACUAAACUACAACUGACGCUCAUGCACGAAGGCGUGGGGAUCAAACAGGAUUAGAUACCCUGGUAGUCCACGCAGUAAACGAUGAUUACUAGUUGUUUGCGAUACACAGUAAGCGACUGAGCGAAAGC